GCGUCGGUAGCUCAGCGGUAGUAGCAACAGACUUUUAAUCUGUAGGUCGCGGGUUCAAUCCCCGCCCGACGCA
RNAcentral lists this transfer RNA (73 nucleotides) under Caudoviricetes sp. Its description in RNAcentral is "tRNA-Lys". It matches the Rfam family "tRNA". From Rfam's summary of the family: Transfer RNA (tRNA) molecules are approximately 80 nucleotides in length. Their secondary structure includes four short double-helical elements and three loops (D, anti-codon, and T loops). The record is from RNAcentral. Lineage: Duplodnaviria; Heunggongvirae; Uroviricota; Caudoviricetes.